RNAcentral lists this unclassified non-coding RNA (331 nucleotides) under soil metagenome. Its description in RNAcentral is "partial contains 5.8S ribosomal RNA, internal transcribed spacer 2, and large subunit ribosomal RNA". The stretch from base 1 to 120 matches the Rfam family "5.8S ribosomal RNA", at positions 35 to 154 of the family's 154-position model. The record is from RNAcentral.
GAUGAAGAACGCAGCGAAAUGCGAUAAGUAAUGUGAAUUGCAGAAUUCAGUGAAUCAUCGAAUCUUUGAACGCACAUUGCGCCCCCUGGUAUUCCGGGGGGCAUGCCUGUUCGAGCGUCAUUUCACCACUCAAGCCUCGCUUGGUAUUGGGCAACGCGGUCCGCCGCGUGCCUCAAAUCGACCGGCUGGGUCUUCUGUCCCCUAAGCGUUGUGGAAACUAUUCGCUAAAGGGUGUUCGGGAGGCUACGCCGUAAAACAACUCCAUUUCUAAGGUUGACCUCGGAUCAGGUAGGGAUACCCGCUGAACUUAAGCAUAUCAAUAAGCGGAGGA